RNAcentral lists this ribosomal RNA (406 nucleotides) under uncultured bacterium. RNAcentral's name for it is "partial 16S ribosomal RNA". It matches the Rfam family "Bacterial small subunit ribosomal RNA", at positions 29 to 526 of the family's 1533-position model. The record is from RNAcentral.
AUUGAACGCUGGCGGCAGGCCUAACACAUGCAAGUCGAACGAGGGGCGGACGGGUGAGUAAUGUCUGGGAAAGUGCCAGGGGGAGGGGGAUAACUUCGGGAAACGAUCGCUAAUACCACAUACCAUCAGAUGUGCCCAGAUGGGUGUAGCUUGUGGGGGGGGUAACGGCUCACCAAGGCGACGAUCCCUAGCUGGUCUGAGAGGAUGACCAGCCACACUGGAACGGAGACACGGUCCAGACUCCUACGGGAGGCAGCAGUGGGGAAUAUUGCACAAUGGGCGCAAGCCUGAGGCAGCCAUGCCGCGUGUAUGAAGAAGGCCUUCGGGUUGUAAAGUACUUUCAGCGGGGAGGCGUUACACGCAGAAGAAGCACCGGCUAACUCCGUGCCAGCAGCCGCGGUAAUUC